UACUAAGUUGGUGCAAAAGUGAUUGCUGCUUUUGCCAUAAUAUUAAUGCCAAAAACUGCAGUUACUUUUACAUCACUAUAUUACUUUGACA
RNAcentral lists this microRNA precursor (91 nucleotides) under Chlorocebus sabaeus (green monkey). Its description in RNAcentral is "miRNA (ENSCSAG00000026935.1)". The record is from RNAcentral. Lineage: Eukaryota; Metazoa; Chordata; Mammalia; Primates; Cercopithecidae.